This 2671-nucleotide long non-coding RNA is filed under the name Strongylocentrotus purpuratus (purple sea urchin). Its description in RNAcentral is "uncharacterized LOC115920508". The record is from RNAcentral. Lineage: Eukaryota; Metazoa; Echinodermata; Echinoidea; Camarodonta; Strongylocentrotidae.
CGUUUUUCGUCUGCAUUUCUGCGUAAACAGAUAUUCAACUAAUAUAUGUAGCAUCUUCUAUUUCAUUUUGUAUAAUAUCUAAGACCGCUUAAAUUUGCCAAGGCGUAUCAAUUGAGCAAGGAAACGCUUGAGGACACACUUUGAACACCUUCCCUUUCACUGAUCAUCCAGGGCGUCGCCGUUCGUUUGUCCAUGAUGAAGCGAUCACUUUGCCAGCUCAGUACAGCCAUCCUGCUAGCAGCUUGUCUUCUUCUUCGGUUGGGACAAUGCCAACCUGUUGCAGAACAGAGCUCACGUCAGCUUUCUCGCUCUUCGGCUCUUGAUAAUUACCUCAUGCUUCGUGCCCUACUCUCACCCGAUAAGACGUUACCGGAGUAUCUCUAUGGUGAUAAUUAUAACGACAUGGAAAGGAGCCGUCGAUCUGGGUUUUUGUUGGAAUCGUUUAAACCUGUCUCAAUGGAUGUACUAAGGAGGGUUCUGCAGAGCAAACACGAGGCGGCAUUGGCUCAAGCCAGGAAUAACAUAAUUGACAGAAAUAAUGAAAUAAUGACCAUGCAAGGUAGGAGAUGAUAGAUUUAAUUGUAGCUUACGGAGUUUUAUUUUGUAAGAAGACGUGCCCACAAAUCACUAUUUCACAAAUCAGCAGUGACAAACAAACCAUGCUGUAUAUUCUUGUUCCAAAUAUUUGAUUUAAUUCAGAUUAUAAAUAUUAGUUUUUGAAGAUGUUGUACAAGAAUCUACUUUGAUUUUUGACUGUCUUAUCUUUUAUAUACGAACUUAAAUGUAGAAGCAACUCAUGGAAAAGUAUAUCAAAAAGAGAAAGAUGUGGGAUUUGAGGGCAUUUUCUUGAACAAUUUUCAUUGAGAACAUGAAAGUGUAGAUAACAUAUAGCGCUACGAUAUAGUAAGAGGUCUCUUAUAGCUUCAAAGGUUUUCUCACAAUAAUACUUUCAAGAUGGUCUGCAGUGUUGACUAACAUCAGGUAUUUGGUGGAAUCGUGUAAUUCUUGGGCUCGCUGUACAGAAAAAAGCUAGCUCUCUUAAAGUCAAAAUGAAGAAAUAUUAGAAUAAACAUUAACAUUGCUGUAGCAUGGUGGCUUAAUAAACGUUUUGAGUAUUCCUGUGGUUCAUCCUCUCACCAACAAGAGGCCCCUUCACUUAGCUAUCUAUUUAAAGAAGAAAGACUACCAAUGAUUGAGACAAAGCAGAGAAAGACUAUUCUGCUACUAGCUAGGGACCGGGUCAACAGCCGGUAAUGUAAAUCCAUGGGGAUUGGAGUCAAUCUCGCCCCCAUCCCCAGCAACUCUCGCGAGAUUCUUUCGAUGGGUAGCGAGAGCUCUUCACACGUACCUUGCUGUCCAUACAACCUGCAUAUUGCUUGCAGUAUGUAUGCCAGGCCAUAACUGCAUGGUCGGGAUUGAAAUCACAAGAAAUGCACACAACUUUAAAGCAGGUGUUAUUGUACAAAAUCAGGACAAUGAUUUAAGAAAACACCGAUCAUUUGUGAUUCGUUUCCCAUGUCCAAUUCUAUUUUUCAUAAACUGGGAGCAGGACUGCAGAGUGAUAUAUAUAUAUAUAUAUAUAUAUUAUGUUGCUGCUGGUAGAUUAUAUAAGAGGGUAUAUUUGUUAAGGUCACGAAAAAAAUGUAAGUCGUAACGUUAAUCACUGUGUUCAUAAUAUUUUGUCAUUUACCAAUUUACUACAUUUUCUUGCAUCGAUUCUGUGCAUCUUAUCAUGUUUGAUUAUUUUGAUUCAGAAAGAAGUGCAAAGAAAACAUGUUGUGCAUUGACGAGUCCAUUUCUGUAUUUCGGUCCAAAUUUCUUAAAUGUGGUGAAAGUUUAUACAUUUAGUCGUACUUUGCAACACAGUAGAAAUGGGGAGAAAGAUAAAUUAAAAUGUCUUGACAUAAGCAAAUGUGUAUCGGAUUCGUUUAGUAUGGUUCAAUUUCAUAUUAAACCAAACAUUCAGCAACCGUGGCGAAAAUAAAAGAUUAAGAGAAAUCUUUCAAAUUGUAAAGGAUCUUUUGAAGCGUGUUGUGCUUCAUCGAUUUAUUGUAGUAUUUCGUGCUAAUAAGUAGGUUGUUUAUAAGUUAAGGGUUACAUUUCUUUCCUUUUUUAUCUAUGCGGUCCAUACGUACGGCCAUCGACUUCGAAAAUGUACAAUCGUCGUUAACCCAAGUAGUCAGAUUUAUUCAUUUUAUCAGACCAGUGUUUCAAGGGGAUUUAGUAAAGAAAUAUUAAACUUAACAUGUCAUUUCUCAUUCAAAUUCUAGUCCAUGCCAUAAUUACAGUAAUUAGAAAGUUCUUACAUUACCAAUUUGUGUAGAAUACACUCUCUAUUAUAUGAUGUUUGUUUUAAAGUUCAUAAUCAAAUUUGCUACAAAGGCCUAGACGAAACAUGUUUGCUAAAAUAAAUGCUCUUUCUAUGUAUAAUGUAUUCCAAGGUAUGUCACAGUAUUUUCCCUCUAACGGUCGGUGUUCAUAAUGAAGUACGAUCGAAAUGUAUUUCCUCCAUUGUUCCCAAACAUGCGUACAAUUAGGUUCUCUAUCAAUUAAUACACUACCUAAAUGCAUUUCAUAGGGCGAGAAUGUUCGAGUUCCUUUGCUCCCGUUUUCAAGCUUUUAAUAUUAUAUCAAAGAGGUAAAAUAAUGUCAUAUUCUGUAAUGGUGAUGA